UCGCUCUAUCUUGUACCUGCCUUCACCUGUAUGACAUCCUACAAAAGGUAUACUGAAAGGCACCUGAAAGACAGGGCUCAGGUCUGUAACGCAUCUUCUAAGAUGAUAAGAGAGGUCAGUAUGGCUAGGGAAAUCAUGGGAAGACAGAGGCUUCCUAGGGUCCUCCAUAGUCUGCCAUCUCUAAGCUGAUGAUUUAUGACAUAGUAAGUCCAGGGCAUAGUAUGAAGUAGGACAGGGUCCUUGGGGCUGAGAGUAGGCCCAUCUUCAGGUUAGCCUUCUUAUUUUUGUCUAUUCUCAGCAUACACCUGUGCCCAUGAGCCUCUGACCUACUUCUCUAAUUUUCCCUGCAUCGUCUGCAGGAGGAGUGUGGUGGGGACCAGGUACCAGACUUGUUCCUGUGUGGACUCCUAUACCUCCAGGAAUCAGCACUCAGCCCCCAUUUCAUCUCCACAAUCAACUGGUUUAUGGCAUCACUCCAAAUUUUUUGGAUGAAGAAACUAGAGAUUAAAGAAGCCAUGUCACUUGCUCUGGUCACACAGACAGUGGAAGAAGCAGACCCUGAGCUUAUACCUUUUGUGGGACCAUCUUCCCCAGCUUACCACCACAAGCCAUGUCUUCAAGAGGGUCCUGAUACCUUCCAUCCAUUCUCCAGGAGAAGCCACCAUAGACCUGACAGGUUCCAGUUCAUCUGGUUCCUGCAGGUUGCUCAAUGGUUUAGAAUAUAGUUCUGGCCUUGCAGUGGAAUAAACAAAGAACAAGUCUUAGA
RNAcentral lists this small RNA (766 nucleotides) under Rattus norvegicus (Norway rat). Its description in RNAcentral is "uncharacterized LOC102549662". Lineage: Eukaryota; Metazoa; Chordata; Mammalia; Rodentia; Muridae. The record is from RNAcentral.